AACGUUUCGAAAGGAACGCUAAUACCGCAUGUGCUCUCGAUUUUCAGAAAGUUGAGAGUAAAGGAUUUAUUCGCUUCAAGAGGAGCCUGCGUCCCAUCAGCUGGUUGGUAGGGUAACGGCCUACCAAGGCUAUGACGGGUAGGGGACCUGAGAGGGUGGCCCCCCACAAUGGAACUGAAACACGGUCCAUACACCUACGGGUGGCAGCAGUAGGGAAUAUUAGAAAUGGACGAAAGUCUGAUCUAGCAACACCGCGUGUGCGAAGAAGGCCUUCGGGUCGUAAAGCACUUUUUGGAAGGAAUAGGGAGGAAUGUACUUCCAGAAUAAGUCUCGGCUAACUAUGUGCCAGCAGCCGCGGUAACACGUAGGAGGCGAACGUUAUCCGGAUUUACUGGGCGUAAAGCGCGUGUAGGUGGUUCUGUAAGUAGGGCGUGAAAGCUCCUGGCUCAACUGGGAGAGGCCGUUCUAAACUACAGAACUAGAGGAUGGUAGAGGGAGGUGGAAUUCCAGGUGUAGCGGUGGAAUGCGCAGAUAUCUGGAGGAACACCAGUGGCGAAGGCGGCCUCCUGGACCAUUCCUGACACUCAGACGCGAAAGCUAGGGUAGCAAACGGGAUUAGAGACCCCGGUAGUCCUAGCCCUAAACGAUG
This 649-nucleotide ribosomal RNA is filed under the name uncultured bacterium. RNAcentral's name for it is "bacterial SSU rRNA". It matches the Rfam family "Bacterial small subunit ribosomal RNA", at positions 145 to 811 of the family's 1533-position model. The record is from RNAcentral.